This is a long non-coding RNA of Hemicordylus capensis (graceful crag lizard), 1556 nucleotides long. RefSeq lists it as uncharacterized. The record is from RefSeq and is a predicted model, not a curated record. Lineage: Eukaryota; Metazoa; Chordata; Lepidosauria; Squamata; Cordylidae. The transcript is spliced from 3 exons.
UAGCAAAGCAUAAGAACAAAAUUAAGUGCUGGGAGUUAGCUUUGAUAUAUGAAGUUCAGAUUCAUAUUUUAACCAGGUCAAACAGUGGUGAACUUUCCUUACCCUUCACAGCACAGAUGUUAUAAGGUAUGAGCCAAGGGCGAGACCUUGUGAGCCAGCUGUCCGUGUGGCUGGACAUCAGCAAGGAGCAUCUAGUUACAUCUACCUGUAACCAAAGAGAUGGAUUCUGCUAUUAUUAAUGCCUGAGCAGUGCAGAGUUCAAAGGAUAUAAGAAAAUAAGAAUAGCCCUGCUGGAUCAGGCCCGGAACCCAUCCAGUCCAGCAUCCUGUUUCACACAGUGGCCCACCAGAUGCCUCUGGGAAGCUGACAGGCAAGAGAUGCAUAAUGAAAGCACCUGUGGGUGAGAAGGAGGUACCAGCAGAUCCAGGGUAACCCACAGAUACGAGGGGAAACUCAAAGGGGCAAUAUUCCUCCAAAAUUGCCUCAAUGGAAUGCAAUGGAGCAGUAUGUUUAUGGACUCAGAGGCAGUAAACAGAUAACCAGGUGUGUGGAGCUAAUGGAAUUCAAUGGUAAGGAGCUGGGGGGGAAGGAGUGCUUGAACAAAAAGUAUACAAAAUUUCUCAUAUUGAAGAAUACUUCUUCAAGACAGUCACAAACCCUUCUGCUUCUGGGGGAAAAGGUGCUUAAAACUUCCACCAUGCUCAGGCACAGUUUCAGGUAACACAUGCACACCAGGGAUAUACUAUAAAAUUUUGUUGAGGACCCAUACUUAGAGGCUCCAUUUUCUUUUGACCCACUCGGUCAUAGGUUUCCAAAAUACACUUUUCUGUUGCAAAUGGCUUGCAAGUCUGGUCUGGCAACAAGGAGCUUUGGCAAACAGGAUUAUAGCAUAGACAAGCUACUAGGAUAUUACACAGAUAGUUUUUAUUAUUAAGAACUUUUAAGGAAGGAUAGAUAGAUAAGUUUAUUCGGUCAUUGAACAGCAAAAUUUAAGGGAAAAUGGUACAGAAAUGUAAUGAAUCAUCAUCAUCAUCAAGCAUUGGCCACUAGAAGGGCCAUGACAUUUUUGCCUGCUUAGUCCCAUUUUUGCAGCCAAUGGCAUCAAGAGAAUCCAGGCAAACAAAGAUGUCCUGAACCAAGAAGAUUUCAGGACUGAAAGGUUCAAAGGACAAGGUGGAGAUUGCAGGCCCACUGACGGAAGGCCCAAAGGAAUAUGAACAUUUCCUUUUGAGGAACAUUUGCUUUUUGACACUGUGAGGUACCACUACUGUGACCUUUUCAUACAAAACCAAGACAGACAACACUCGAAACCUCUGAGUUGUCAACUUGGUACUUCACAGUCAAGCAUGCAAUUGAUUGAAGCAAUGUGGAUUUCUGGACUCCCGGAGCUCAAGAUGGAAACAAGAAAGUUAUCAAGUGAUAAACUCGAUUAAAGGUAUCCUGAAUUUAUAUCAGUAAUGUAUAAAUAGUGAGUUAAAUACAUUUAAAUCAGUAAUGUAUAAAUAAUGUAUAAUAUCAUACAUUAAACAGUAAUGUAUAAAUAAUAAAUCUAAAUA